AUUGAACGCUGGCGGCAUGCCUUACACAUGCAAGUCGAACGGCAGCACGGGAGCAAUCCUGGUGGCGAGUGGCGAACGGGUGAGUAAAGUAUCGGAACGUGCCAAGUCGUGGGGGAUAACGUAGCGAAAGUUACGCUAAUACCGCAUACGAUCUAUGGAUGAAAGCGGGGGAUCGCAAGACCUCGCGCGAUGGGAGCGGCCGAUAUCCGAUUAGGUAGUUGGUGGGGUAAAGGCUCACCAAGCCGACGAUCUGUAGCUGGUCUGAGAGGACGACCAGCCACACUGGGACUGAGACACGGCCCAGACUCCUACGGGAGGCAGCAGUGGGGAAUUUUGGACAAUGGGCGCAAGCCUGAUCCAGCCAUGCCGCGUGCAGGAUGAAGGCCUUCGGGUUGUAAACUGCUUUUGUACGGAACGAAAAGGUUUGACUUAAUACGUUGGACUCAUGACGGUACCGUAAGAAUAAGCACCGGCUAACUACGUGCCAGCAGCCGCGGUAA
RNAcentral lists this ribosomal RNA (500 nucleotides) under uncultured bacterium. Its description in RNAcentral is "partial 16S ribosomal RNA". It matches the Rfam family "Bacterial small subunit ribosomal RNA", at positions 30 to 523 of the family's 1533-position model. The record is from RNAcentral.